AGCGAACGCUGGCGGCAGGCCUAACACAUGCAAGUCGAACGAACCUUUCGGGGUUAGUGGCGGACGGGUGUGUAACACGUGGGAACGUGCCUUUAGGUUUGGACUAACUCAGGGACACUUGUGCUAAUACCGAAUGUGCCCUUCGGGGGAAAGAUUUAUCGCCUUUAGAGGGGCCCGCGUCUGAUUAGCUAGUUGGUUGAGGUAAUGGCUUACCAAGGCGACGAUCAGUAGCUGGUCUGAGAGGAUGAUCAGCCACCUUGGGACUAGGACACGGCCCAGACUCCUACGGGAGGCAGCAGUGGGGGAUCUUGCGCAAUGGGCGAAAGGCUGACGCAGCCAUGCCGCGUGAAUGAUGAAGGUCUUAAGAUUGUAAAAUUCUUUCACCGGGGACGAUAAUGACGGUACCCGGAGAAGAAGCCCCGGCUAACUUCGUG
RNAcentral lists this ribosomal RNA (434 nucleotides) under uncultured bacterium. RNAcentral describes it as "partial 16S ribosomal RNA". It matches the Rfam family "Bacterial small subunit ribosomal RNA", at positions 29 to 507 of the family's 1533-position model. The record is from RNAcentral.